CCUACGGGUGGCUGCAGUCGAGAAUCAUUCACAAUGGGGGAAACCCUGAUGGUGCGACGCCGCGUGGGGGCAUGAAGGUCUUCGGAUUGUAAACCCCUGUCAUGUGGGAGCAAAUUAAAAAGAUAGUACCACAAGAGGAAGAGACGGCUAACUCUGUGCCAGCAGCCGCGGUAAUACAGAGGGCUCAAGCGUUGUUCGGACUCACUGGGCGUAAAGCGUGCGUAGGCUGUUUAGUAAGUCGUGGGUGAAAGGCGCGGGCUCAACCCGCGGCCGGCUCCUGAUACUGCGAGACUAGAGUAAGAGAGAGGGAACCGGAAUUCUCGGUGUAGCAGUGAAAUGCGUAGAUAUCGAGAGGAACACUCGUGGCGAAGGCAGGUUCCUGGACAUUAACUGACGCUGAGGCACGAAGGCCAGGGGAGCGAAAGGGAUUAGAUACCCCUGUAGUC
RNAcentral lists this ribosomal RNA (446 nucleotides) under uncultured bacterium. Its description in RNAcentral is "partial 16S ribosomal RNA". It matches the Rfam family "Bacterial small subunit ribosomal RNA", at positions 338 to 795 of the family's 1533-position model. The record is from RNAcentral.